UACGUAGGGGGCAAGCGUUAUCCGGAAUUAUUGGGCGUAAAGAGUGCGUAGGUGGUUACCUAAGCGCAAGGUUUAAACUUGAGGCUCAACCUCAUUCUGCCUUGCGAACUGGGCUACUUGAGUGCAGGAGGGGAAAGCGGAAUUCCUAAUGUAGCGGUGAAAUGCGUAGAUAUUAGGAAGAACACCGGUGGCGAAGGCGGCUUUCUGGACUGUAACUGACACUGAGGCACGAAAGCCAGGGGAUCAAACG
RNAcentral lists this ribosomal RNA (250 nucleotides) under uncultured prokaryote. RNAcentral describes it as "partial 16S ribosomal RNA". It matches the Rfam family "Bacterial small subunit ribosomal RNA", at positions 524 to 774 of the family's 1533-position model. The record is from RNAcentral.